RNAcentral lists this ribosomal RNA (401 nucleotides) under uncultured bacterium. RNAcentral describes it as "bacterial SSU rRNA". It matches the Rfam family "Bacterial small subunit ribosomal RNA", at positions 355 to 773 of the family's 1533-position model. The record is from RNAcentral.
UAGGGAAUAUUGGACAAUGGGGGAAACCCUGAUCCAGCAAUGCCGCGUGAGCGAUGAAGGCCUUAGGGUUGUAAAGCUCUUUUACCCGAGAUGAUAAUGACAGUAUCGGGAGAAUAAGCCCCGGCUAACUCCGUGCCAGCAGCCGCGGUAAUACGGAGGGGGCUAGCGUUGUUCGGAAUUACUGGGCGUAAAGCGCACGUAGGCGGCGAUCUAAGUCAGAGGUGAAAGCCCGGGGCUCAACCCCGGAACUGCCUUUGAGACUGGAUUGCUAGAAUCUUGGAGAGGCGAGUGGAAUUCCGAGUGUAGAGGUGAAAUUCGUAGAUAUUCGGAAGAACACCAGUGGCGAAGGCGGCUCGCUGGACAAGUAUUGACGCUGAGGUGCGAAAGCGUGGGGAGCAAAC